RNAcentral lists this ribosomal RNA (497 nucleotides) under uncultured bacterium. RNAcentral's name for it is "partial 16S ribosomal RNA". It matches the Rfam family "Bacterial small subunit ribosomal RNA", at positions 28 to 507 of the family's 1533-position model. The record is from RNAcentral.
GAUGAACGCUGGCGGCGUGCCUAAUACAUGCAAGUCGAGCGAACGGACGAGAAGCUUGCUUCUCUGAUGUUAGCGGCGGACGGGUGAGUAACACGUGGAUAACCUACCUAUAAGACUGGGAUAACUUCGGGAAACCGGAGCUAAUACCGGAUAAUAUUUUGAACCGCAUGGUUCAAAAGUGAAAGACGGUCUUUCUGUCACUUAUAGCUGGAUCCGCGCUGCAUUAGCUAGUUGGUAAGGUAACGGCUUACCAAGGCAACGAUGCAUAGCCGACCUGAGAGGGUGAUCGGCCACACUGGAACUGAGACACGGUCCAGACUCCUACGGGAGGCAGCAGUAGGGAAUCUUCCGCAAUGGGCGAAAGCCUGACGGAGCAACGCCGCGUGAAUGAUGAAGGUCUUCGGAUCGUAAAACUCUGUUAUUAGGGAAGAACAUAUGUGUAAGUAACUGUGCACAGCUUGACGGUACCUAAUCAGAAAGCCACGGCUAACUACGUG